CUCCUUACACAAACCACGAACCUGUGCCCGGCCUCCUUUGCUUACAGUCAGAGUCGAGACCGAGGCAGUUCGAGCUAUUCAUGGAAGCCAUCACAAUCUUUACCACGAUGAUUAUCCUAUCGACAGGUUCCAGACAGAACCGGCCCAGCGCGAAGCCGAGAUCGCCCCCUUAAAAGGGCUGAGCUUGGUGCGUAGCGACUGGUGAUUUCCGGAGGCGCUAUAUUCCAAAACCGUUUGCCCAGGCCAUUGGUCCAUGAGGCGGGGGUAAACCAUACGUCUACAGAU
This 285-nucleotide small RNA is filed under the name Microdochium bolleyi. RNAcentral's name for it is "A. fumigatus sRNA Afu_309". It matches the Rfam family "A. fumigatus sRNA Afu_309". Lineage: Eukaryota; Fungi; Ascomycota; Sordariomycetes; Xylariales; Microdochiaceae. The record is from Rfam by way of RNAcentral.